This 163-nucleotide long non-coding RNA is filed under the name Serinus canaria (Common canary). Its description in RNAcentral is "lncRNA (ENSSCAG00000014351.1)". The record is from RNAcentral. Lineage: Eukaryota; Metazoa; Chordata; Aves; Passeriformes; Fringillidae.
UAGACAGGAUUAUUAAAAAACAAAAAACAAAUAAAAUCUAAAUAAUGGUGCUCUGCACUUUUGCAGGACUGUCUACUUAAGAAGCUGAGAGUGAGUUAGGAACAUUGAUGAAGCCUCUGUUCUGUGAGCUGUCAGCUUCUCCUCACCUGGAUGACUAAAUGGG